CAAGGGUUUGAAGGUGAGGUGCUGCAGACACUUGCAAUGAUGGGACACCUUAGGGGUAUCUUCACUCCUGUUUCCAGCCUGUCCCCUCUCCUUUCUCCUGGGAAUAUGUAAAACAGCAUAAAACGCCUUCACACAUCUGAAAAGCACGUUUAUGUGUUGCUAUGAAUAACGAUACUGGAAGAAGAUGAUCUCAUGUAUUGUCUGACACAAGUAUUCCCAUUUCUUUUGCUGAUAGUUAACAUUAGACGCACUGGAAGGAAAGGGAGUAAGUGAUUUACAGGUGCAUGCAAACUUAGAAGAAUAAAAGCUGCAUUCUGACUGAAAUGGAGUGUUUAUUUAAAAGAUGUGUAUUCUUCCACUGAGUGUGGAUUUUGUUCAUUUUUUUUGUCUCAAAUGUGUUACCGAGGCAGGAACUCCCCCCCACGCCCUGGGUCCCAGCAGGAUUGCAGCUACUGAGUGCAGUACAGUUCCAUGGUCCUGGGAGAUAUUUCAUUGAGUGUACUUAUUUUCUUAAUAUGUUAUGUUUUAUUUAUGUGUUAAAUACAGCUGAAAAAUCAAAUAAUUAUUCUGCCCUGGAAACACUAAUCCACAUUGGACAUGCAAAGGCUAAAUCCUCUCCUGAGAAGAGCAGAACCUGAAGCAGCUCUAGUGGGAGGUUUUAAUCUACUACCUCCCCAGCUCUGGGUUUCGCUGGGAGACAAUACAGGAAAAACAUCCUGCAGAAGCCAAGCAUUUCUCCUUGCUGAUGUCCUGUGGGGUGGCCUCUAAGGCUCUGUGUGGCACCAGUGGAAGGAAGAGAUGGCUAUGGCCGACCAUCAUAGCGUGGAUUUCAGUGUUUCAUUAGCAAUCCAUGUUUGGUGAACGUGGGAGAAAUAUCACGGUGACACCUGAAUCACAAAGGAUCUCACAAUGUUUCUGCGCCAACAAGAGCUCCAAUGCGGGAUCCUGCAGGUGGUCAGUGUGGAGCACCAAUCGGGCAGCGAGGAGGCUGGCUUGGCAUCAGGAGAGGAGACCCACCUGUUUCUUUUGCAAGUUGAAACAGCAUUCUGGGUGGCAACAAUGGAAACCUUGGGAGCCGGCCGAGCAAGCUCUAACGACAGUGCCACGGAAGCACCGCAACACUGUGGUGACAUGGGAGAUAGUAGAAGACGCAGAAGUGGAGGCACAAUUGAGCAAAAUUAAUCUAUCAGAGGAUACAAAGAUUAAUCACAAAUAAUGAGUGGCGUGGGCCAGUGCCCUGCUUCUGGACACCAAUGGCAAUG
Cuculus canorus (common cuckoo) is the source of this 1262-nucleotide long non-coding RNA. RefSeq lists it as uncharacterized. The record is from RefSeq and is a predicted model, not a curated record. Lineage: Eukaryota; Metazoa; Chordata; Aves; Cuculiformes; Cuculidae. The transcript is spliced from 4 exons.